This 487-nucleotide ribosomal RNA is filed under the name uncultured Campylobacterota bacterium. Its description in RNAcentral is "bacterial SSU rRNA". It matches the Rfam family "Bacterial small subunit ribosomal RNA", at positions 75 to 583 of the family's 1533-position model. Lineage: Bacteria; Pseudomonadati; Campylobacterota. The record is from RNAcentral.
CUAGCUUGCUAGGUGGAUUAGUGGCGCACGGGUGAGUAAUAUAUAGAUAACGUGCCUCUUAGUCUGGGAUAGCCAUUGGAAACGAUGAUUAAUACUAGAUACUCCUUCUAACUCUAAUGUUAGUCGGGAAAGUUUUUCGCUAAGAGACCGGUCUAUAUCCCAUCAGCUAGUUGGUAGUGUAAGAGACUACCAAGGCAAUGACGGGUAGCGGGUUUGAGAGGAUGAUCCGCCACACUGGUACUGAGACACGGACCAGACUCCUACGGGAGGCAGCAGUGAGGAAUAUUGCACAAUGGAGGAAACUCUGAUGCAGCAACGCCGCGUGGAGGAUGACGCAUUUCGGUGUGUAAACUCCUUUUAUAUGUCAAGAAAAUGACGGUAGCAUAUGAAUAAGCACCGGCUAACUCCGUGCCAGCAGCCGCGGUAAUACGGAGGGUGCAAGCGUUAUUCGGAAUCACUGGGCGUAAAGGACGCGUAGGCGGGAUGC